GGAGGGAGUACUAUACAUCCGGAAUUGUAUUUGGAAGUGUCAAAAUUUAUCAUUUAUAAUCAUUGAUAGUUACAUUGCUAGAUAUACACACACUGAAAGUCUGAAAUAUUCUUGAAAAAGCACAUGUCAGCUGUCAUAUCUUCAUUAGAUGUUUUUAAAUCUUUUCCUGGUUUGAUGUUGAUAUUUUGUUAGUUUGUAGAUGCUGCUAGUUUGUACUUUCAAAAAUUUAAACUUGAUUUUGUUUUCUCUGCAGUACAACAAGUUGUGUCUCAAGCUUGUAAGUUCUGUUACAAGGAUGAGAUUGUUAGAAUGCUACAAAACUUCUACGUGAUAGCAGUUGUACCAGUCAACUAGGAUGUCUACAUGAUGUUUCUUGUAUUCAUGGCAGCAACAAAAUCUUGUGGCGCAAGGUUAAGCUCUGAUCUUCAAAAGCAUUGCAAGCUUGGUGAUUCUUCUGCGGGAGACAUGUGGUCCUGUUUAAAUUAUGCUGUUUCACAUGAUGGUGGCGAGUCUGUUAUUCACAAGACAUCUAAUGAAGUCAUCCAAUAAAAAGGUUCCGAACAAACAAUUUGUCUUCCUAGACAUGGCUGUAGCUGCGUGUCAAGCUCAAACCAUUUGUUUAGCUUAGUUUGAACAAAAGAAAUCUUAUUGUCUAUGUAAAUUCUGUUUAUUGAUGUAGUUGGACGCUACUGAAUGCAUGUAUGGAUGUUGCAGUACUGAAUUUUAAUCAUUAUGUGUUUGAGAUUUUCUACUGAAUAUUGAGUCAAUUCCUGUGUGAAUAGAAAUAAAAAUAAAUAUAC
Molecule: long non-coding RNA, 800 nt
Filed under: Triticum aestivum (bread wheat)
Lineage: Eukaryota; Viridiplantae; Streptophyta; Magnoliopsida; Poales; Poaceae
Description: long non-coding RNA (TAES_LNC003168)
Source: RNAcentral